AUAAUAGCCUAUUAUAUUAUAGUAAUUGGCAAUAGCUCUAAAUCACUGCUAUUGCCACUGAUAGUUGUAAGUGAAGCCACUAGUCCCCAAAUUUAGAUAUCCAUUCGAAUUGAUUUUAGUAUCUUUGUAAUCCUUGUUGCUUGAAUGUUGCAAUGAAAAAUGCUUCAUCGAAAACCAAGGUUUCUUUCGCCAUAGAUCUAUGUUCAAAGCUUUGAAAAUUUGUAUCUGGUAGACCAUGUACUAUUGCUAUCCUUAACUGAUGAGGGUUUCAACAUUACCAAAAAACAACAUCAAACAAAACCAAAAUGUUGUGUUGGUAGCAGCAGUUUGCGGUGAUCUGCGGUAGUUGAUGCGACUAUCAGUGAUUUAUUUUAUUUUUAUUUGUAAAAAUUAAUUAUUAAAUGUAAUAUAAUAACAAUUGAAAUAUUAACAAAUAUACAUAAUAUUAAUUUUGUAUAAAUAUAAAAUAUUAUUUUAUAUAAUACAGUACAGUGCAACACUAAAUGUUGUAUAACAUUAAUAAAACAUAAUGUUUAUACCAUGCACGAUCAUUAAAUAAUGCAAUACUUUAUAAUGCAAUAUAAUGUGGCAAAAGUACCCAAAAGACACGCCACUAUGAAUACUUCCAAAAUUCUCCUCGCCAAACAUCCCUUCUUUCUCAUACCAUUUGUUUUUUUACUUCAAAGUAAGAAAAUUUUGGGAAUCACCGUCCCAUUGUUGAAAACUUUUGGAAGGAAAGCAGUUUGUGAUGUUAAUUUAGGUUAGGUUUUUUUACUAAAUUAUAAAAUGUAAAAUUGAAUUUUAAUUUUUGUAAUUUUAUUUUUGAAUAUUACCUAACUAAAGCCCAAUAGAUAUAAAUCCAAAGAGAAAAUGUUGUACUCUCAUUGUGUCUAUUAAAUAGGACUUACUCGAACCCACCCAUUAACUUUUAGGUGAAUUUUAUUUAACCCGCUAUUUUUGUAAUUUAAAAUAAUUCUUAUAAUAAUUUACAAAGCACACAUAUACAAUAAUACAAAAAUAAUAAUUAAUAUAAAGAAUGUUAACAUCAUCAAACGACGCAGUCUAUAAAAAUUAUGAAAAAAAAAACAUAGAAUGAGAUUUGUGGUACCUAAAAAAAAUUCGUAUUUGGUGAAGAAAAUUGACUAACAUUCAAUGCAAAUCAUACAAUCACGACUGUAAAUACUUGGAAAUUUAAGGUUUAUGAUUACUUUACAUAAAUAGUUAAUUUUAAAUAAUUUUUUCUUUAAAAUUUUAAAGUUUAAGUUAUUAAAUUAUUCAUAUCAAGUGUAAUGGGUAAUUGGUGAAAUAUAUUUUAAUGCUUAAAUACAAAUCUGACCCUUAUGGAACCCGAAGGAUUUAGUGCAGUAACACACCUUCCAUAGUUGGUUUAAUUCUUUCAUGCAUGACUAAAUCCUUCCAUAGUUCUCUUGCUUCAACAAUACUGUAUGUCUUAAUAUGAAACAAUUAAUGGGUUUGCCUUAAUGAUCCAGAUAUAGCGAUAUUAUUUUCAUUAGCAGAUAUUUAUAUAAUCUUUUGAAAUUGUUAUAUUUACCUUUAGAAAAUGAUGCAAAAUUUCAACUACUUUUGCUGGAAAGAUUUUAAAUGCAUAUGUCUUAUCAACCCGUUCAACGGGUAAAUACUUGUUUAAUCUUUAUAUUUUGACUUAAGUUUUAGUUUAAUCUCUAUAUUUAAAAAAAAUACUUUAAAUCACCCAUGUAGUUAAAAAUGUUAUAUUCUUAACCUUACUUUUUCUUUUCUUUUGUAAUAAUAUCCUUUCAAUAAUAUUCUUGACAUUAAUUAAGAAAUUAACUGAUAGAACUAGUAUUUUUUUUGUAUU
This 1837-nucleotide long non-coding RNA is filed under the name Citrus x clementina. Its description in RNAcentral is "Citrus clementina (C. clementina) long non-coding RNA (CCLE_LNC003464)". The record is from RNAcentral. Lineage: Eukaryota; Viridiplantae; Streptophyta; Magnoliopsida; Sapindales; Rutaceae.